Molecule: long non-coding RNA, 1187 nt
Organism: Leopardus geoffroyi (Geoffroy's cat)
Lineage: Eukaryota; Metazoa; Chordata; Mammalia; Carnivora; Felidae
Exons: 4
Source: RefSeq, a predicted model, not a curated record
UUGCUCACAACUGCGCCACCGCGCAGACACCCCUUCCACGGGGUCUGUCUCUCCUGAGGCAGCCCAAGGCGAACUUUGCAAGUCGGUGCACGGAACUUUCCAAGUCGGUGGACGGUGGGAAUGGUUUGGAGCCAGCUCUCUGGAGAUGCUUUUGCCCCAUUCCACGUCCUCGCCCGUCCGACACCGGUACGUCCUCCUUUACUGCCCUCCUUUGGAGAGGCUGUACGUGGUGGCGGCUAGAGUUUGGACUCUGGAACCUGCCUUAGCAUCUCGGCUCCGCAGUUUACCAGCCGUGUGACCUGGGGGAAGUCCAACCUCUCCGUGCCUCAGUUGCUCGAUCUGUAGUUACUUCCUCCAGGAGUUGUUGUAAAGAUUAAAUGAACAAUGACACAGGUGCAUUAAACGGUAACAUGACGAACAGGAAUAUGUAUUGCCUGUCCUUCUGUCUUUUCGCGAUAGGGUGCUAACACAAGGAGGUGUGUUCUUCUUUUUACUCUGCCACGGCCCAUUCAUUCGCUAGGAUUGACAACCUGGUGUGCGUUGAUCUUAACCAUAACUCAGUUUCUGAUGGUGUCUUGGAUGUGCAUUGUGCCUUGUAGACUCGAGCUAACGUUACUGCUUCUGUUGCACCCUCGUUGAAACGUCUGUGAAGAAGCACUAGCAGGUUAAGGAUCCCCAACUUUGGAAAAGGAACGUGAUGUGAAACUAGAAUUCUCUGUUUAAAAGGGGCCAAGGCCGACUGCCCCCAAGAUGUGCCACUUUGGUCACGCAGAUCAUGCCGAGCUGAAAACAAUCCAGGCCCAGAAGACGCAGGGAGAAAUUUUGACCUUGCCCCCAAAACUGCCUCAAAGAAAUGAGAUUGGGGACGUGCUCCAGGAAGGGAGCCAUUGCCAUAUUUACCUACAUUAUAAUGUGAAGUAGGUAUGAUAGAGAGCGAGGAAUUCAGCAAGGUCUGGUUGAUCAAAAUCUUCCCUGUGUCCCAUUGCUUCUGGAUGACCCAGUCAACACUUAUUUACCACGUUCGCUCUUUUUCAUUCUUCCUGUGAGCAUUCCUUCCCUUUGUAGUCUCAGACUCCUUCCUCCUCCUUAGUUCAGGGUGACUUCGCACUGCCUGGCUGUCUUUGGAAUCUUAACGUGUGUGUGGAUUCCCUAUGCCCCUGAAAUUAAAUUUGAUUUUCUCCUGUUAA